UACGUAGGGGGCCAGCGUUGCUCGGAAUUACUGGGCGUAAAGGGUUCGUAGGCGGUGCGGCAAGUCGGGAGUGAAAUCUCUGGGCUUAACUCAGAGGCUGCUUUCGAAACUGCCGUGCUCGAGUGCGGGAGAGGCCAGUGGAACUGCAGGUGUAGCGGUGAAAUGCGUAGAUAUCUGCAAGAACACCCGUGGCGAAGGCGGCUGGCUGGACCGCAACUGACGCUGAGGAACGAAAGCUAGGGGAGCAAACAGG
This 253-nucleotide ribosomal RNA is filed under the name uncultured bacterium. Its description in RNAcentral is "partial 16S ribosomal RNA". It matches the Rfam family "Bacterial small subunit ribosomal RNA", at positions 524 to 776 of the family's 1533-position model. The record is from RNAcentral.